Molecule: ribosomal RNA, 305 nt
Filed under: uncultured bacterium
Lineage: Bacteria
Description: bacterial SSU rRNA
Rfam family: Bacterial small subunit ribosomal RNA
Source: RNAcentral
CCUACGGGGGGCAGCAGUGGGGAAUAUUGCACAAUGGGGGAAACCCUGAUGCAGCGACGCCGCGUGAGCGAAGAAGUAUUUCGGUAUGUAAAGCUCUAUCAGCAGGGAAGAAAAAUGACGGUACCUGAGUAAGAAGCACCGGCUAAAUACGUGCCAGCAGCCGCGGUAAUACGUAGGGAGCAAGCGUUAUCCGGAAUUAUUGGGUGUAAAGGGUGCGUAGACGGGAUAACAAGUUGGUUGUGAAACCCCUCGGCUCAACUGAGGAACUGCAACCAAAACUAUUAUUCUUGAGUGCAGGAGAGGAA